Elgaria multicarinata webbii is the source of this 1045-nucleotide long non-coding RNA. RefSeq lists it as uncharacterized. NCBI's taxonomy places the organism in Eukaryota, Metazoa, Chordata, Lepidosauria, Squamata, Anguidae. The transcript is spliced from 2 exons. The record is from RefSeq and is a predicted model, not a curated record.
GUGUGAGGGUCGGGGCGCUGCCUAAAGCUUGUGAAUAAUCGUGGUUUUAUCGGCGUGUUAGUACUCCGCUAGCUUACGGUUAAUUAUCUGCUUUCGCCGGAGAGUCUCCUCCUCGCUCUACGGGCUUCAGAAAGCCGCUCAAGUUCUGAGCGGCUUUCUGAGGCGUUUAGAGCGAGGCGCGGCUGCCGCGCAUGCGCUUUGUGAGGUAAAAAAAAAUGUAGAGAGAGGAGAAGGAAAAAAUCCUGUCAGAGAGACGACGAAAAUCAGUUUGGGCGUUCGGGAGAUGGGAGGCGCCCGGCGAGGAAUCUCAGGGUAUCCUGUGCUUGCAGUUUUGGGUUUGAAGAUGUGUAUUACACAAUACAGCAACCAUACCUUUCUCUGAACAUGUGCCUAUCUUAACAGGAUAGCUGGAAAUCAACCUAUUCAGUGGUGAGAUGCUGUAGUGGCUACGAGCUCUUGUCAAAAAUCUAGCUCAAGGGUGGGGAAACUUGGACCCAUAGAGGACCUGAUCCCUGCUGGCUUAUUUCUGACAAGCAAUUAGAGAUAAGGAGUUUCCCCUCCUCCUUUCCAUACUAUACUGAAGCUUUUUAAAAGUCUCAGUUGGACCAAUGGAGGCUUAUAAAAAGCCUGAUUUCAGGCAGUUGCUUUGGGGGCCCACACUAGCUCUGGGGUGGUCCCACUCACUUUGGGUGCAGCCCCAUUCACUGCUGGUGAAUGGUUUUAAACCCCAACAUGCGUUCUCAGCCAAUUAGUCCCUUGGGCCCCAAAAAAAUCUCCACCCUAGUAGCAAUCAACACAUAAAUAACUCAAGUGGAUGAAUCAGGUAUUUGAUAAAGUUACUUUAAAUAAAUCCAUGGAUACAACUGAGUGCAGUUUAAGUAACUGAAUUUUCUGCUUAUUCUACUUGGAGCUGUAAAGGCAGUUAAAGAGUCCUUUAACUGCUGUUGAAUAAUUUGUGGAAAUGGUCUCCAAUUUAUUGGCUUACUAUGUAUGUAUAUUCCUUUAUGCUGAGGCUUUGAUAUAUUAAAAUACUAAUGAAAUACUU